GGUAUUGUGAUUUAACUUGCAAUUCUGUGCAGUCCUGUGCGUACCCUAUUGAUCGCCCUCUCAAGGCGAAGAGUCCGGGUUCGAGCCCCGGUAACGCUACCA
This 102-nucleotide transfer RNA is filed under the name Granulicella mallensis. RNAcentral describes it as "tRNA-Ser". The record is from RNAcentral. Lineage: Bacteria; Pseudomonadati; Acidobacteriota; Terriglobia; Terriglobales; Acidobacteriaceae.